This 520-nucleotide ribosomal RNA is filed under the name uncultured archaeon. RNAcentral describes it as "partial 16S ribosomal RNA". It matches the Rfam family "Archaeal small subunit ribosomal RNA", at positions 353 to 875 of the family's 1478-position model. The record is from RNAcentral.
CAAGCCCCCCCCUGGGCAAGGGUUACCUCCAGGGGCCCCCGGAAAAAGGCGGCUUUUCCUUGGCCUAACCCUUUUGGGGAAUAGAGGGGGGGCAAGACUGGUGUCAGCCCCCCCGGUAACACCAGCCCCUCGAGUGGUGGGGAUGAUUAUUUGGCCUAAAGCGUCCGUAGCCGGGCGGGUAAGUCUCCCGUUAAAUCCAGCGUCUCAAGCGUUGGACUGCGGGAGAUACUGUCUGGCUAGAGAGUGGGAGAGGUGUACGGUAUUCUGGGGGUAGGGGCGAAAUCCUUUGAUCCCCGGAGGACCACCAGUGGCGAAGGCUGUACACUAGAACACGUCUGACGGUCAGGGACGAAAGCUGGGGUAGCGAACCGGAUUAGAUACCCGGGUAGUCCCAGCCGUAAACGAUGCACGCUAGGUGUUGGGGCGGCCACGAGCCGCUCCAGUGCCGCAGGGAAGCCGUUAAGCGUGCCGCCUGGGGAGUACGGCCGCAAGGCUGAAACUUAAAGGAAUUGGCGGGGGA